This is a long non-coding RNA of Saccostrea echinata, 1727 nucleotides long. RefSeq lists it as uncharacterized. NCBI's taxonomy places the organism in Eukaryota, Metazoa, Mollusca, Bivalvia, Ostreida, Ostreidae. The transcript has 5 exons. The record is from RefSeq and is a predicted model, not a curated record.
UACGUUUGAACUUUUCCAUUUUUGACCAUUGCAAAGAACUUGCAGUGUCUUUAAUAGGCAGUUACAUAGUGUCUGCAGCUCUGGAGUAUUUAGGGAUGGACAAACUGGAUUAUGUGCCAAUCAAACAUUUUAUACCAAGUUUGGAUGAAUUAUUAUAAGUGAAUAUGAGAAGAAGAUGUCUCUUGUGCAUUCAUUAGAAAAUUUCAUUGAUGCAUACAUUAUAAAAGAUUCAAAAGAUUUACUCCAGGAGCAAUCUUCUACUGUACAGUUUAUUCAAAUACAGGUACAAAUGCCAAAUGGAAGUCCAGUGAAUAUUCAGCUGCCUCUUUUGACAAAAUCUGAGCAUAUGCAAGCUUCACCAGAUCAUAUCAUGAACUAUGGACUUUGAAUCUUAGAACUAGGACUUGCAUUUAAAGGCCUUCAAAACAAUAUUAAAAUUCCGAAUAGAGUCGACAGGUUUAUACCACUCAUGAAGCACUUAAUGUAUAUUCUAAAGGGCCACAAUGAUAAUUCCAAGUAUGCACUUGAAAUUUUGCGCUUCUUGGUCCAGCAGCAGUGCACAUUUGAUGAGAAGACAGCUUACCAGUCUUUUUUAUGGUCUCUUUGUCAACAAUUAUAAAGAAAAGUUUGAUUCUUCAAUUCCUGCAGACCUACAGAUGGAACACAUUGUGAGACAAAUUAAAGGUCACUUGAAAGCUGUCCAUUCAAAUAAACAGACACUGCCAUUGCAAAGAGAACAGCUGCCUUUGCUGGCAUGAAAAACAUAUCAGCAUCUUUUGAUGAUUCCUCUGAUGUUAUUGUACGUUCUCAGAAGCACAAAAUUGUUUUUUCACACUCUGAUGAAUGCAUGAUUAUCAGUGACUUACAGAAGCUUAAACCUUUCCACUUUAAAGAUGGACGAAAGUUUCAAUCAUUUCCCAAACCUGUCCAGAGUCCCUUGAGUCAUCUCAAUAUGCAGAAAUUGAAGUCAUGGAUUCGUGAACACCAGUACAACCUUCACCAUGAAGUAAGAAAUUAAGAUCUGAGGAAGUCACAAAGGAAGUUAAUGCAGAUCUGAGAACAGACUUGUCUAUCUCCGAAUCCUUUUCAGCUGACUCAGAAGAGGGGCAAGAAUCCUCACAUACAUCACAACAAUUUUGAACAACAGCAGUAGAUUCUGUAAAUCCAAAGUGGGACUUAGAAAAAAACUCGCCUACAAAGUGUGUCAUUCCUGCAAUACUCCUUAAUUUCCUUUGAAAUGUUUAGACGCCCCAAGUCACUGCUAUUGAAGUACAAAAUGGCUUCACACUGCAUUUCACUGUUUCGUCCACCACGGCCAAUAUGCUAAAAUUUACCUUCCAGAUUUUGGGGAGGACAAGCAUGAAUCACCUGAGCUACAUAACGCAGGUCUACCCCUAUCCCUAGUGCUACUGUAGCAAUAACAACUUUCAGGGGACUCUCUAUGGGAUCCUUUGCCAAAUUCUUAAAUAUGAUAUCUUUGAGCUGAAAUUCAUUUAUUAUAAUUGAAAUGUAACAUGACUACCCUUAGAUUCUCUGCACAUUUGUGUCCAUCACCACCAUACAUACUGUCUCGAAGGAUUCUCUCGGCAAGUUCAAACCCGUAUCCCACCCAGUCCAUGCUGCCACAGCAGUAAAUCAGUGAACUGUGAGUCAUCAGUAGGUGCUGGGCAACAUUUUUCUGGCCAUCUUUUGACAAAGUAGCACUUAAUCCCAGCACUUGAGCAUCC